Grammomys surdaster is the source of this 64-nucleotide small nuclear RNA. RefSeq annotates it as U7 small nuclear RNA. The record is from RefSeq and is a predicted model, not a curated record. The transcript has a single exon. Lineage: Eukaryota; Metazoa; Chordata; Mammalia; Rodentia; Muridae.
GAGCUAUACUGCUCUCUUAGAGUUUUUCUAGCAGGUUUUCUAAUUUUGGUCAUAGAAAUCCAUG